GGAACUAAGAUCAGCAAACAUUUCAAGAGGACAGCUAUGUCAAGUGCCAGUUAGAUGUUGACGGCAUAACGAUUAUAUAUAUAUAUAUAUAUAUAAUAUAUGUUUUUGAGAACAAAUAACCAUAACACAAUAUACUUUAAGCACUGCAAAAGAGACAGGGAUAUGCCCAGAGACGGAGAUGAGGGCUACUAUCACCAAGGGUCAAAGGAAGAAAAGGGUAUUUGGGGUUGGAGAUAUAGCUCAGCGGUUAAGAACAUUUAUUGCCCUUCGACCAUAGUUCGAUUCCCAGAAACUACAUCUAGUGGUUCACAAACAAUCUUUAUUCCAGCUCCAGGGGAUUCUAUACCUCUAGGGUGAGUAUGCACGUGCGUGUGUGUACACACAUACACACACACAUAUACACACACAGCAUACAAGCACAUAUGUAUGACUUAAAUUAAUUGUAGUUAAGAAAGAAAAGAAAAAAGGUAUUAUGUGGAGAGAGCAAACUGUUGAAAUCUAUUUUCUAUACAUGAAGAGUUAGGGAUUUUUUUUAGGGAGGCAGGCUUGAAGUCUCUCCGUUUUAUAUAUAGCUAUCACCAUCCAUAUUUAUUUUUUAUUUUUAUUAUUUUAUUUAAUUAUCCAUGCUUUAAAGAACACCAGGUGGCUAGGUGGUGGUGGUGCAUACCUUUAACCACAGAGCUUCUGAGGCAGAGGCAGGCAGAUAGAUCUCUUAGUUCAAGACUAGCCUGAUCUACAGAGUGAGUUCCAGCUCAGUGUGGGCUACACAAAGAAACACUGUCUCAGAAACUAAAACAGCAAGCAGAUGGUUUAUAAAUAUUUGUGUUUCUGGGGGUUUUUUUUAGUAGUUUUUUCUUAAAAGUUAAGUCACUGUGAGUAUAUCCAUGUAAGUGGAGAGCCAGAAGGCACAGGAUCCCCUGUAGCUGGGAGUUCUGGGCAGUUGUUAGCCAUGUUCCCAGGUGCUGGGAACAGAACUGAAGCUUUCCAGUACCAGGUGAGUCCUCCUGACUGCCAAGCCCUUCUCCAAGCCACUGAUUAAAAAAAAAUUAUUUGCUGGCCUUUCCGAGCAGUACUCGCCGGCCACUGGAAACUGCCAACAGUGAACCUCAGCGUCUCAAGAAAACACUGAAGAAUUCUAUGAAUUGUAGCAGUGAAUUGGAUUGUAUUCUCUGGCAUAUUUUGAAGAAAACUGGGCUAUUGAAACAUUUUUCCCUCCUGACUGCUGCUUGAAUGUUCUUGGAAGCUGUUUCGUAUGUAUAGGGUUUUUAAAAUGUGAUUCCUUUGUUUGAAUAUUAAUGGCUUUUUCCAUUAAAGAAUAAAAUGAUAAAAAAUAAAUUAUUUGGGGGUUGGGGAUUUAGCUCAGUGGUAGAGCGCUUGCCUAGCAAGCACAAGGCCCUGGGUUCGGCCCCCAGCUCCGAAAAAAAAAAAUUAUUUGGGGUUGGGAAUUUAGCUCAGUGGUACAGCGCUUGCCUAGCAGAAAAAGAAAAAAAAGAAAAAGAAAAAAAGAAAAAAAUUAUUUGUGUGUGUGUGUGUGUGUGUGUGUGCGCGCACAAAUACUUUUAGAGGACUGAAGAGGGCUUUUGAUCCCCUGGAGCGAGAGUUUCAAGCAGUUGUGAACUACCCCACACAGAUGCUGGGAACCUAACUUGGAUCAGGUCUUCUGUAACAGCAGCAAACUCUCUUAACCACCGAGCCAUUUCUCCAUCCCCUUAUUUUCCCUGAAAUUUUGAAAAGUUAGCGACCUAGGCCCUGUAUCCCUUACUGUAAUAAAAUGGGAGCAAGUGCCAUGGCCUCUCUGAUGGUGAACCAUCAUGGUUUCUACCCACCUUACCUCAACUACACUACCUGACUGCUAUAGGAGCCUGAUUGUUAACUCUGAGCUGGUAAGUCGGAAUGACUGAGCAGGAAGUGGCUGGAGGAAAUGGGGCCAGUAAAGCUUUUGUGUGACAGGUGUCUGUUAUGUGGAAUAGAGUCCACAUGUAGAGGCAAGUAGAAGGUGGAAGCUGUUUUGUAAACAGGGUCAGUGGGACUCUGAAAAGAGGAGGAACCAAGAGACAUUGGCCUCUUUAGUGGAUAAACUAAAGCAAGGGUUUGGGUGGAUGGUAAUUUAUUGAAUUUGAGUUGCCUAUAGAUGCCCAAGCAGAGGUUCCCGCAGGCUUCUGGUAAAGCUGGAGCUCGUGAGAAGUGACUGGACUAGAAACAACGUCAGGUUAUCGAACUCUUGUCUGUAUGGUGGACUAAAUCUGGAGCUGCGAACAGCUAAAACAUUGGUUGAAUUAUAUUUUUCAGAUGAACAAAGAUAACCUAAUCAGGAAGCUGUUAGUGGCUGUCAGCUGAGGCUGGAGGUCAAGUUCAAGGAAUAGGGCUGCAGUGAAAAGACUAGAUGAUCAGUAUUCCCUUCUUUCUUUCUCCCUUCCCCUCAAUGGCAUUCACGUCGCCCUUCCUGUAUGUCUUUAGGGUAGCAGUGCCCUCAUGGACCUGAAUAGUCCUUCCUUCCUCUAUCCCCUCCUCCACACACCAGCGGACAAAGGUACACUUUGCACGUAUCAGGUCACACUUGUGGUCUGGUGAUCCCAGGCCUGAGCAAUGGCACCGGUGCUGUUCAGCAUGCACUCAGCUCACCGUGACUGGUCCCUGUCUCUACCAGGCAGCACUGGGAAAGGUGUAUGCCAGCCUUGAGGUCAUCGGAGUUGGAGAUGACAAGCUGCAGGCUGUACAUGGUCUCAAUGGUGGCAAACCUCACAGGGACAUCCUUGGGAGCCGUAUCACCAGACCAACAGGCAUCAAACCCCUGUGCUUACCACGGCACAUCUUAGCAUAUGAUUGGCUGGCUCAAAGUAAGUAUUUGUGAUCUUUGCUGUAGAACCUUGCUCCUGAUAGGCUUUCUCAGCAGAGAGGAUGGGGCCUAUGUGGGAAGGUGAAAUCGGAUAUCUAUCAAAUGGAAGGGGAACAAUGGUAGAAGAUAUGAACUGCCAAAGAUGGCAAUUAAGGUUAAUGUAGGUUGGGUGCUCAGUAUUGGGGCUUCUAUGACAGAUCAGAGAUGACCUCAUUGUCUACCAUGAAGACCCAAAGUGCUGCAAGACAGUGAAGAUGGAGUUGCAGGGUUCAACGACAGCUGUGAAAACUUGGGGCUGGCUAAGUGAAGAACUCCAGCUGCAAUCAGCCGAAAGACACUUAACAUCAAGGAGAACUAGAGCCAUUUUCCUGCUAAAGCCAGAAACUGCAGAUAACCUAGAUGUCCCUCAACCAAAGAAUGGAUAAAGAAAUAUGGUACAUUUACACUAUGAAGUUAAAAACAGCAACAUCAUGAAAUUUGAAGGCAAAUGGAUGGAACUAUGUAUAAAAGAUCAUCCUGAGUGAGGAAAGGAUCCUUAGCAGUGGGAAUGGGACAUCAACUCAAACACAAAACCUCCAAUCUACAAUCUGUCGUGCCUACAAGACAUGCUGUGAUGGCAUGGCCCAGAACUUGUGGAAGUGGCCAACCAAUGACUACUCCAACUUGUGACCCAAUACACUAGAGAGAGCCCAAGUCUGACACUCCCUGGACGACCAGGAACCUGCCCAGAGACCUAGGACAACUGGCCAGAAAACCAAACCAAACCAAAACAAGUCAAUAUUGGUGCCUGGCCCAAUAGUCAUCAGUGAGGCCUCCUCCAGCAACCGAUGGGAGCAAAGCAGAGAUCCACAACCAAACACUAGGGGAUCCAAGGGAACCCAGAAGAAGAGGGGUAAGAAGGAUUGGGAUUGUAGAAGCUAGAGUAACACUCUAAAAACGUGGAAUCAAGUCUUAGUGGGGCUCACAGAGACUGAAGCAAUAAAUAUGAACUCACGUGUAUGGGGCCAAGCUAGAUUGUCUGCAUAUAGACCUUAUGUGCGUACAGCGUGCUCUUCUUGUGGGAGGAGUUGAUCUGGGGAAGAGGGAAGUGAGGGACUGAGUUAAGUUCAGGUCAGUCAGAGAUUCAUAGUGAGACACUGUAAAAAAAACCAAAAAACAAUAACAACCAAAAAAACCAAAACCAAAACCAACCAACCAAACAAACAAACAAACAACAACAAAAAAACCAAGGCAGAGCUUCUGGCCACAGUUUAAUCCCAGCACUGGGGAGGCAGAGGCAGGCAGAUCUCUGAAUUCAAGGCCAGCCUGGUCCACAGAGCAAAUUCCAGGACAGCCAGCCAAGGCUAUGUGGAGAAACCCUGCUUCAAAAAGCCCAAACCAAAUCAAACAACCAAAUAAACAAAAAACAUAGAUAAACAAAACAAAUAUCAAACUCCAAAAAACUCAGAAAAGUUUCACCAUGGGACAAGUGAAUAAAAGCCAGACUUCCCUCCUCUCCCUCCCCCUCCCCACUCCCAAACUGGGUCUUGGAGAUGUAAAAGUCUUGAUACAAAAAGCAUGAGGACUUGAGUUCAUUCCCCAGGACCUACUCUGGCUGACCUGGAAUUCACGAAGAAGCAAAGAACUGACUCCUGCAAGUUGUCCUCUGAUCUCCAUGUGCAUGUCAUAGCACAUCCAUGUGCACACCACACAUGUAAAUAAAUAUAAACAAUAAAGAUGAUGAUUUAACAAUUAAAAGAAAAAA
This is a non-coding RNA of Rattus norvegicus (Norway rat), 4580 nucleotides long. The record is from RefSeq and is a predicted model, not a curated record. NCBI's taxonomy places the organism in Eukaryota, Metazoa, Chordata, Mammalia, Rodentia, Muridae.